Molecule: ribosomal RNA, 181 nt
Filed under: uncultured bacterium
Lineage: Bacteria
Description: partial 16S ribosomal RNA
Rfam family: Bacterial small subunit ribosomal RNA
Source: RNAcentral
CAUGAAGUCGGAAUUGCUAGUAAUCGCGGAUCAGCAUGCCGCGGUGAAUACGUUCCCGGGCCUUGUACACACCGCCCGUCACACCAUGGGAGCCGGUAAUACCCGAAGUCAGUAGUCCAACCUCGUGAGGACGCUGCCGAAGGUAGGAUUGGCGACUGGGGUGAAGUCGUAACAAGGUAUC